Long non-coding RNA from Manihot esculenta (cassava), 3001 nucleotides. RefSeq lists it as uncharacterized. NCBI's taxonomy places the organism in Eukaryota, Viridiplantae, Streptophyta, Magnoliopsida, Malpighiales, Euphorbiaceae. The transcript is spliced from 3 exons. The record is from RefSeq and is a predicted model, not a curated record.
GAUUGCCUAACGGCUCUGAAUUGGACUUCAAACUGUUGUAGAGUUUUUAGCUGGUUAGCUUCCUGAAAUUGUUAGCUGAUAUGUUGGAAAUAGUUAGGGUUUUUAUUGUCAGAAGAGUAAAAGACUUGCAUGAGAGGAUGAUAAGGUGUGUAAUGGAAGAAUCUUGAUCACUUUCUUUUCUCCGAACCUACUUCUCGGUGGCUUUCUAUAACUUGAUUCCUUGAAAAAUCAAUUCUCGCCUACUUCUCUUCAAGAUCCCAUUGCAUCCGCCGCGACCCAUAAUCCUCUCUCAUCACUCAUCAUUUCUGCCAGAGGUGAUGAUGCAGUGUUUGCAUGAGCGACUCAAGGAGUGGGAGUAUAUCACCUGUGAUCACUUUGCCGGUAGUAUUGGGUUCGUGGCUGGGGGCUUCAUGCAAUUGGUGAGGUCUUACCCAUUUGGGCGCUUCUUCUGAUUGAGGGGUUGCAGAACUUUGUUGGUAUGGAGGUCAUCCAGAAAUUGCCUUCUCUGCCUCUUUGGGUGUAGGAGAGAGUCUUCUUCCUGAGAAAGAUAAACAAGGAGGAGGUAAAUCUAGGCUGACGCAGGAUGGAAAUGAGGUCUUCUGACUGAGCAUGAAGAUGAGAAGCCUGUAAAGCGGAGUCGCUCUUGUAUCAGAAAGACAUAAAUGAAUAGCUCAUCUACAUUUAAACUGUUCCAAGCAUCUGCAAGAGGAGCAGUAAUAGUCAAGUGCAAAAUAUGUCCACAUAGUGGGGAGGAUCACUUUGACGCAAGCCUUAAUUAAGGCAAUUUCCUGCUUAUGUUUUUCUUCCUCAUGUUGGCUUCUGGAUCUGAUUUGACCGGAUAAUUUGGGUCAGACUCGUCAAUCUUGGGAUUAGUAUUUGGAACUUUCUUGGCUGUUUUGGUGUUGGCUACUUGUUUUAAGCUAUCAUCAGAAAAUUUAGCUACCCAAGUCUGGUGGCCAGGGCUGUUUUCAGGUGAUAAUGGCUGAUAACUCAAGGGACAGUAAUUGUGUUCUAUAUGCUGAUUCAAGCUGGAGUUAAUAUCUCAAGCGCUGGAGGAUGUGUGCCAAAUAAAAGUUGAAAUUUCCCAUCCCCGUACCAUCAUUUUUAUAUCCCUUUUGUUCCCCUCUUUCCCAUUAGGUUUGGACGUGUCAUCUAAAAUGUCGUGGGCUGAUAUAACACAAGAGACAUGAAGUGCACACAUGGUUAUAUGCUGAUUCAAGGUGGAGUUAAUACUUAAUGUCUCAAGUGCUGGAGGGAUGUGUGCAAAAGGAAAAGUUCCCCAUCCCCGUACCGUCGGUUUUAUACCCUUUUGUUCUCCUCUUUCCCGUUUGGUCUAGCCAUGUCAUCUACGAUGUCAUACUGCCACCUACCAUAGGCUGACCAUACUUUUGGUAGUGCGCACAUGUUUGUCCAUAAGGAGUGUUUAUCACAGGCAGUCGGCUAUUUAUUGCUAGGUCAACUGAGCCGAAAUGACAAAGACACAUUGUAAUCUUUCUCGGAGAUUUGGGUGAGGUUGUCCGGGAGAGCAUUACUAGGCGGGUUUUCAAGCGCGUGUUUGUCCAUAAGGAGUGUUUAUCAUAGGCAUUCGGCUAUUUAUUGCUAGGUCAACUGAGCCGAAAUGACAAAGACACAUUGUAAUCUUUCUCAGAGAUUUCGGUGAGGUCGUCCGGGAGAGCAUUACUAGGCGGGUUUUCAAUUACCAGUCCAUCAGUACCUGACCCGACUUCCUCGGGUUAUCCUUUUUUGGUUGUUUCCCGUAUGGGAUCCACGUGGCACCGGCUUAUUUGAUGUGUAAAUUCAGGAGAUAUCAAUGGCUAUUGGACUUUUCUAUUAAUACAAUGGGGACCGAGGAAAUUUACAUUGCGAGCAUUUUGAUAAGACUUGGCUAUGGUUGGCAGUUGUCUUUGCUGCAAUCCCUAAACUAUUUGGAUUAAAUAGUAUGGCGGCCUUGGUGCGAUUUUCUACCGACCAUUCUCUAAUGUUCUCAGAUGUUAUUGGUAGAGGUAUGUAUAACUAUUAUGUAGAGAAACGAGCUCGCAUCCAAAAGCUAAGUUCAGAAAUGUGCUUGAAAUGCAUCCUUGGGAGGAAUCACUUACUAGUGGGGUUCCAUAUGUUAUUCACUCACUUUCAGGAUGACAUUUUUUUGUUAUUGCCAUGAUAUUGAGUUUGAUUGUGGUUCAUCAGCAUAGGAAUUGCAUAUGUGCUGUGGAAAGACUAAUAUUUGAGUUGUAAGGAGAAGCAACUAUAGAUUGCUUUCCGUAUAGAUUAGCAUCCUACUUAGCAAAGGACGAUUCGGAGGCAUUAAAUUAAAGUAAAUACUGAACAAAUCGAGGAUUCUCUUUUCAUUAAAUUUUCUCAAAACAAAUUGUAUUCCUUUGCAGGAUUUGGAAGCAUUUGCCUAUGGUAGUUUAUUCAACUUCCAUGAAGGUUUUUCCUUGGACCAGGAGGUUAUUUUGUUAGGCCAGGAUCGUACUUCUGUAUUUCAUUGUGUUAUAGUGAACCAUUACAUGCUUAAUGAAAAAUAAAUUCAUACAUUUCUUAUUUCUUGUUGUAUGCUUACUUUCUGGAAUUUCUUGAAUAAGGCACAUUUAUCUGAAACUAUAUAGGUGAUUCUGAUGAAUGCUAUUGAUUGUGUGUGAUCUCUAGUUUGCUUAGCAAAGGAUGAUUCGGAGGCAUUAAAUUAAAGUAAAUACUGAACAAAUCGAGGAUUGUCUUUUCAUUAAAUUUUCUCAAAACAAAUUGUAUUCCUUUGCAGGAUUUGGAAGCAUUUGCCUAUGGUAGUUGAUUCAACUUCCAUGAAGGUUUUUCCUUGGACCAGGAGGUUAUUUUGUUAGGCCAGGAUCGUACUUCUGUCUUGCACUGUGUUAUAGUGAACCAUUACAUGCUUAAUGCAAAAUAAAUUCAUACAUUUUUUAUUUCUUGUUGUAUGAACAUGUAUCUGAAUUUUCUUGAAUAAGGCACAUGUAUCUGAAACUAUAUAGGUGAUUCUGAUAGAAUGCUA